GUGCUCACUUCGGCAGCACAUAUACUAAAAUUUGAACGAUACAGAGAAGAUUAGCAUGGCCCCUGUGCAAGGAUAACACGCAAAUUCAUGAAGCGUUCCAUAUUUUU
Molecule: small nuclear RNA, 107 nt
Filed under: Cebus imitator (Panamanian white-faced capuchin)
Lineage: Eukaryota; Metazoa; Chordata; Mammalia; Primates; Cebidae
Source: RNAcentral